This 370-nucleotide transfer-messenger RNA is filed under the name Streptomycetaceae. RNAcentral's name for it is "Streptacidiphilus sp004365705 Standard tmRNA". It matches the Rfam family "transfer-messenger RNA". From Rfam's summary of the family: Bacterial tmRNA, also known as 10Sa RNA or SsrA, is named for its dual tRNA and mRNA-like properties. Its role is to liberate the mRNA from a stalled ribosome. RNAcentral also lists the same sequence under 1 other name. Lineage: Bacteria; Bacillati; Actinomycetota; Actinomycetes; Kitasatosporales. The record is from RNAcentral.
GGGGGUGAUCGGUUUCGACUGGGGAUGUCGAUCCAGGGGAAGCGAGCCGAGGAACGCGGCAAUGAUCUCGUAAACCAUAUGUCGCAAACUAUAAUCGCCAACUCCAAGCGCGAUUCCUUCACCCUCGCCGCCUGAGCGAGUAACUGAAGGUGUCAGACCGGGCGUGUUCCCGUCCCGGACCCUGGCAUAAUCUAGGGAACUCCACCGUCGCAUCCGGUCACGGGAUACGGCGGGAAAUCAAACAGUGACUGAGCCUGUCGGCGGCUUGUCCGCGUGACUGCCGGGGCCGAGAAAAGCACAGCGGACUGCGCUCGGAGAAGCCCUGGUUUUGCACCACAGGACGCGGGUUCGAUUCCCGCCACCUCCACCA